This 314-nucleotide ribosomal RNA is filed under the name uncultured eukaryote. RNAcentral describes it as "partial 18S ribosomal RNA". It matches the Rfam family "Eukaryotic small subunit ribosomal RNA", at positions 1470 to 1796 of the family's 1831-position model. The record is from RNAcentral.
CCCUUAGAUGUCCUGGGCUGCACGCGCGCUACACUGACACUAUCAACGAGUGCUCCUGGUUUGAAAGGAUCGGGUAAUCUUUUGAAAUGGUGUCGUGAUGGGGAUAGAUCAUUGCAAUUAUUGAUCUUGAACGAGGAAUUCCUAGUAAAUGUGAGUCAUCAGCUCACGUUGAUUACGUCCCUGCCCUUUGUACACACCGCCCGUCGCUCCUACCGAUUGAGUGAACCGAUGAGUAGUCCGGAUUGCGAUCGACCUCGGUUAAUCGCGAGAAGUUCCGCAAAUCACUUCACUUAGAGGAAGGAGAAGUCGUAACA